GUGCUCACUUCAGCAGCACAUAUACUAAAACUGGAUGAAUACAGAGUAGGUUGCAUGGCCCCAGCGCAAGGAUGACAUGCAAAUUCAUGAAGCGUUCCAUAUUUUG
Tupaia belangeri (northern tree shrew) is the source of this 106-nucleotide small nuclear RNA. NCBI's taxonomy places the organism in Eukaryota, Metazoa, Chordata, Mammalia, Scandentia, Tupaiidae. The record is from Ensembl.